RNAcentral lists this unclassified non-coding RNA (505 nucleotides) under Hevea brasiliensis (rubber tree). Lineage: Eukaryota; Viridiplantae; Streptophyta; Magnoliopsida; Malpighiales; Euphorbiaceae. The record is from RNAcentral.
UCACACGUAGAGCAAGGCACAUAUGUAACAGUACUCCCAGUAUCCACUAUAAGAGCAAACCUCUGGGGUGGAGUUCCAAUCCAAAGACGUGUUGUAUAAUAUCCGUUGAUAAGUAGAUCGUCGUGGAGAGCCAUUUGAGCAUUCACCGGGGAUUUCUGGAGAAGUCGACCAGAGAGUUGGGAAGGAGAGGAACGAACCGAUGUGUCUUUGGGGGGAAAGAGUGGGAGAACCAUGGCAGUGCGAUGACUGGUAUCCGAAAAGUGCAAACAUGAAACGACAUCGUAAUCGACCAGUGUAAAUAUAAUGCAGAGUAUGGUGAAAGUAGCGGUGAACGAUGCCGGUUUCAUUGCAGGACAACUAUUGCCGCCAGAUAUCUCCUAUGAAAUGUGAGAUCGCCAGAGAUUAAGAAAAAUGACAAGAUUCGGUCGGUAACAAGGCCCGCCGGAAGGUCGGCGACACCGGAGGAAAAGGACAGAGUAACGGAAUCUGAUUAAGCAAAGCCGGG